Molecule: long non-coding RNA, 3838 nt
Organism: Oncorhynchus keta (chum salmon)
Lineage: Eukaryota; Metazoa; Chordata; Actinopteri; Salmoniformes; Salmonidae
Exons: 4
Source: RefSeq, a predicted model, not a curated record
UUUCUCCUAUCACAGCCAUUAAACUCUGUCAGUUAGGUUAGUAUUGAGGAGUAACUAUAAUGUAGUUGAUCCAUCCUCAGUUUUCUCCUAUCACAGCCAUUAAACUCUGUCAGUUAGGUUAGUAUUGAGGAGUAACUAUAAUGUAGUUGAUCCAUCCUCAGUGUUCUCCUAUCACAGCCAUUAAACUCUGUCAGUUAGGUUAGUAUUGAGGAGUAACUAUAAUGUAGUUGAUCCAUCCUCAGUGUUCUCCUAUCACAGCCAUUAUACUCUGUCAGUUAGGUUAGUAUUGAGGAGUAACUAUAAUGUAGUUGAUCCAUCCUCAGUGUUCUCCUAUCACAGCCAUUAAACUCUGUCAGUUAGGUUAGUAUUGAGGAGUAACUAUAAUGUAGUUGAUCCAUCCUCAGUGUUCUCCUAUCACAGCCAUUAAACUCUGUCAGUUAGGUUAGUAUUGAGGAGUAACUAUAAUGUAGUUGAUCCAUCCUCAGUGUUCUCCUAUCACAGCCAUUAUACUCUGUCAGUUAGGUUAGUAUUGAGGAGUAACUAUAAUGUAGUUGAUCCAUCCUCAGUGUUCUCCUAUCACAGCCAUUAAACUCUGUCAGUUAGGUUAGUAUUGAGGAGUAACUAUAAUGUAGUUGAUCCAUCCUCAGUUUUCUCCUAUCACAGCCAUUAAACUCUGUCAGUUAGGUUAGUAUUGAGGAGUAACUAUAAUGUAGUUGAUCCAUCCUCAGUGUUCUCCUAUCACAGCCAUUAAACUCUGUCAGUUAGGUUAGUAUUGAGGAGUAACUAUAAUGUAGUUGAUCCAUCCUCAGUUUUCUCCUAUCACAGCCAUUAAACUCUGUCAGUUAGGUUAGUAUUGAGGAGUAACUAUAAUGUAGUUGAUCCAUCCUCAGUGUUCUCCUAUCACAGCCAUUAAACUCUGUCAGUUAGGUUAGUAUUGAGGAGUAACUAUAAUGUAGUUGAUCCAUCCUCAGUUUUCUCCUAUCACAGCCAUUAAACUCUGUCAGUUAGGUUAGUAUUGAGGAGUAACUAUAAUGUAGUUGAUCCAUCCUCAGUUUUCUCCUAUCACAGCCAUUAAACUCUGUCAGUUAGGUUAGUAUUGAGGAGUAACUAUAAUGUUGUUGAUCCAUCCUCAGUGUUCUCCUAUCACAGCCAUUAUACUCUGUCAGUUAGGUUAGUAUUGAGGAGUAACUAUAAUGUAGUUGAUCCAUCCUCAGUGUUCUCCUAUCACAGCCAUUAUACUCUGUCAGUUAGGUUAGUAUUGAGGAGUAACUAUAAUGUAGUUGAUCCAUCCUCAGUGUUCUCCUAUCACAGCCAUUAAACUCUGUCAGUUAGGUUAGUAUUGAGGAGUAACUAUAAUGUAGUUGAUCCAUCCUCAGUGUUCUCCUAUCACAGCCAUUAAACUCUGUCAGUUAGGUUAGUAUUGAGGAGUAACUAUAAUGUAGUUGAUCCAUCCUCAGUGUUCUCCUAUCACAGCCAUUAAACUCUGUCAGUUAGGUUAGUAUUGAGGAGUAACUAUAAUGUAGUUGAUCCAUCCUCAGUGUUCUCCUAUCACAGCCAUUAAACUCUGUCAGUUAGGUUAGUAUUGAGGAGUAACUAUAAUGUAGUUGAUCCAUCCUCAGUGUUCUCCUAUCACAGCCAUUAAACUCUGUCAGUUAGGUUAGUAUUGAGGAGUAACUAUAAUGUAGUUGAUCCAUCCUCAGUGUUCUCCUAUCACAGCCAUUAUACUCUGUCAGUUAGGUUAGUAUUGAGGAGUAACUAUAAUGUAGUUGAUCCAUCCUCAGUGUUCUCCUAUCACAGCCAUUAAACUCUGCCAGUUAGGUUAGUAUUGAGGAGUAACUAUAAUGUAGUUGAUCCAUCCUCAGUGUUCUCCUAUCACAGCCAUUAAACUCUGCCAGUUAGGUUAGUAUUGAGGAGUAACUAUAAUGUAGUUGAUCCAUCCUCAGUGUUCUCCUAUCACAGCCAUUAUACUCUGUCAGUUAGGUUAGUAUUGAGGAGUAACUAUAAUGUUGUUGAUCCAUCCUCAGUGUUCUCCUAUCACAGCCAUUAAACUCUGUCAGUUAGGUUAGUAUUGAGGAGUAACUAUAAUGUUGUUGAUCCAUCCUCAGUGUUCUCCUAUCACAGCCAUUAUACUCUGCCAGUUAGGUUAGUAUUGAGGAGUAACUAUAAUGUAGUUGAUCCAUCCUCAGUGUUCUCCUAUCACAGCCAUUAUACUCUGCCAGUUAGGUUAGUAUUGAGGAGUAACUAUAAUGUAGUUGAUCCAUCCUCAGUGUUCUCCUAUCACAGCCAUUAUACUCUGCCAGUUAGGUUAGUAUUGAGGAGUAACUAUAAUGUAGUUGAUCCAUCCUCAGUGUUCUCCUAUCACAGCCAUUAAACUCUGCCAGUUAGGUUAGUAUUGAGGAGUAACUAUAAUGUAGUUGAUCCAUCCUCAGUGUUCUCCUAUCACAGCCAUUAUACUCUGUCAGUUAGGUUAGUAUUGAGGAGUAACUAUAAUGUUGUUGAUCCAUCCUCAGUGUUCUCCUAUCACAGCCAUUAAACUCUGCCAGUUAGGUUAGUAUUGAGGAGUAACUAUAAUGUAGUUGAUCCAUCCUCAGUGUUCUCCUAUCACAGCCAUUAAACUCUGCCAGUUAGGUUAGUAUUGAGGAGUAACUAUAAUGUAGUUGAUCCAUCCUCAGUGUUCUCCUAUCACAGCCAUUAUACUCUGUCAGUUAGGUUAGUAUUGAGGAGUAACUAUAAUGUUGUUGAUCCAUCCUCAGUUUUCUCCUAUCACAGCCAUUAAACUCUGUCAGUUAGGUUAGUAUUGAGGAGUAACUAUAAUGUAGUUGAUCCAUCCUCAGUGUUCUCCCAUCACAGCCAGUAUACUCUGUCAGUUAGGUUAGUAUUGAGGAGUAACUAUAAUGUAGUUGAUCCAUCCUCAGUGUUCUCCUAUCACAGCCAUUAUACUCUGUCAGUUAGGUUAGUAUUGAGGAGUAACUAUAAUGUAGUUGAUCCAUCCUCAGUGUUCUCCCAUCACAGCCAUUAAACUCUGUCAGUUAGGUUAGUAUUGAGGAGUAACUAUAAUGUAGUUGAUCCAUCCUCAGUUUUCUCCUAUCACAGCCAUUAAACUCUGUCAGUUAGGUUAGUAUUGAGGAGUAACUAUAAUGUAGUUGAUCCAUCCUCAGUGUUCUCCUAUCACAGCCAUUAAACUCUGUCAUUUAGGUUAGUAUUGAGGAGUAACUAUAAUGUAGUUGAUCCAUCCUCAGUUUUCUCCUAUCACAGCCAUUAAAAUCUGUCAGUUAGGCUAGUAUUGAGGAGUAACUAUAAUGUAGUUGAUCCAUCCUCAGUUUUCUCCUAUCACAGCCAUUAAACUCUGUCAGUUAGGUUAGUAUUGAGGAGUAACUAUAAUGUAGUUGAUCCAUCCUCAGUUUUCUCCUAUCACAUCCAUUAAACUCUGUCAGUUAGGUUAGUAUUGAGGAGUAACUAUAAUGUAGUUGAUCCAUCCUCAGUGUUCUCCUAUCACAGCCAUUAAACUAUGUCAGUUAGGUUAGUAUUGAGGAGUAACUAUAAUGUAGUUGAUCCAUCCUCAGUGUUCUCCUAUCACAGCCAUUAUACUCUGUCAGUUAGGUUAGUAAUUGAGGAGUAACUAUAAUGUAGUUGAUCCAUCCUCAGUGUUCUCCUAUCACAGCCAUUAAACUCUGUCAGUUAGGUUAGUAUUGAGGAGUAACUAUAAUGUAGUUGAUCCAUCCUCAGUGUUCUCCUAUCACAGCCAUUAUACUCUGUCAGUUAGGUUAGUAAUUGAGGAGUAACUAUAAUGUAGUUGAUCCAUCCUCAGUGUUCUCCUAUCACAGCCAUUAUACUCUGU